Molecule: ribosomal RNA, 477 nt
Filed under: Enterococcus faecalis
Lineage: Bacteria; Bacillati; Bacillota; Bacilli; Lactobacillales; Enterococcaceae
Description: bacterial SSU rRNA
Rfam family: Bacterial small subunit ribosomal RNA
Source: RNAcentral
CGGGUGAGUAACACGUGGGUAACCUACCCAUCAGAGGGGGAUAACACUUGGAAACAGGUGCUAAUACCGCAUAACAGUUUAUGCCGCAUGGCAUAAGAGUGAAAGGCGCUUUCGGGUGUCGCUGAUGGAUGGACCCGCGGUGCAUUAGCUAGUUGGUGAGGUAACGGCUCACCAAGGCCACGAUGCAUAGCCGACCUGAGAGGGUGAUCGGCCACACUGGGACUGAGACACGGCCCAGACUCCUACGGGAGGCAGCAGUAGGGAAUCUUCGGCAAUGGACGAAAGUCUGACCGAGCAACGCCGCGUGAGUGAAGAAGGUUUUCGGAUCGUAAAACUCUGUUGUUAGAGAAGAACAAGGACGUUAGUAACUGAACGUCCCCUGACGGUAUCUAACCAGAAAGCCACGGCUAACUACGUGCCAGCAGCCGCGGUAAUACGUAGGUGGCAAGCGUUGUCCGGAUUUAUUGGGCGUAAAGC